CGCUACUUCGGCGACAGCGUUCGCACCGGCAGGCUGCUCGGCGAGGAGGGGCGCGCCGCCGAGAACGUCUACAUACAGAAGAUGGAGAGGGAGAAACUGGAGAAGCUGAGGAGGAAAGCGGACCAGGAAAAGGCCGACGCCGCAAAGCAGGAGGCUGCUGGCAAAGGCAACCAGAAGUGUGAGGGAGCUCAUCCAAGCUGA
RNAcentral lists this ribosomal RNA (201 nucleotides) under Triticum aestivum (bread wheat). RNAcentral describes it as "partial small subunit ribosomal RNA". The record is from RNAcentral. Lineage: Eukaryota; Viridiplantae; Streptophyta; Magnoliopsida; Poales; Poaceae.